GGUUAAAAAGCUCGUAGUUGGAUCUCGGCAAGUAGAGGGCGGUAUGCUUCGUAGCAUUACUGCCCUAUUACUUGUAGUUUUGCCAGAGGUUCCUGGGUGCUCUUAAUCGAGUGUCUAGGGAUGCUGGCAGGUUUACUUUGAAAAAAUUAGAGUGCUCAAAGCAGGCUAUUACGCUUGAAUACUCGUGCAUGGAAUGAUAGAAUAGGAAGUUGUUUCUAUUUUGUUGGUUUUCGGAAAUCGACUUAAUGAUUAAUAGGGACAGUCGGGGGGCAUUUGUAUUCAAACGACAGAGGUGAAAUUCUUGGACCGUUUGAAGACAAACUACUGCGAAAGCAUUUGCCAAGAAUGUUUUCAUUAAUCAAGAACGAAAGUUAGAGGUUCGAAGGCGAUUAGAUACCGCCCUAGUUCUAACCAUAAACGAUGCCAGCUAGCGAUCUGAGGACGUUUUUUUUGUAGACUCCUCAGGAAGCUUCCGGGAAACCAAAACGUGUGGGUUCCGGGGGAAGUAUGGUUGCAAAGCUGAAACUUAAAGGAAUUGACGGAAGGGCACCACCAGGAGUGGAGCCUGCGGCUUAAUUUGACUCAACACGGGAAAUCUCACCAGGCCCGGACACUGGAAGGAUUGACAGAUUGAGAGCUCUUUCUCGAUUCGGUGGGUGGUGGUGCAU
RNAcentral lists this ribosomal RNA (668 nucleotides) under uncultured marine eukaryote. RNAcentral describes it as "SSU rRNA". It matches the Rfam family "Eukaryotic small subunit ribosomal RNA", at positions 617 to 1285 of the family's 1831-position model. The record is from RNAcentral.